UCCGGUUUAACACCGGCAGUCCCGCUAGAGUGCCCAGCUUUACCUGAUGGCAACUAACGGCGAGGGUUGCGCUCGUUGCGGGACUUAACCCAACAUCUCACGACACGAGCUGACGACAGCCAUGCAGCACCUGUGUUCCCGCCAGCCGAACUGAAGGGUCCCAUCUCUGGAACCCAUACGGGACACGUCAAGGGUAGGUAAGGUUUUUCGCGUUGCAUCGAGUUAAUCCACAUAAUCCACCGCUUGUGCGGGUCCCCGUCAAUUCCUUUGAGUUUUAACCUUGCGGCCGUACUCCCCAGGCGGUCAACUUCACGCGUUAGCUUCGUUACCAAGGAAUUGCUUCCCCGACAACCAGUUGACAUAGUUUAGGGCGUGGACUAC
RNAcentral lists this unclassified non-coding RNA (381 nucleotides) under uncultured Gammaproteobacteria bacterium. RNAcentral's name for it is "contains 16S-23S intergenic spacer region". Lineage: Bacteria; Pseudomonadati; Pseudomonadota; Gammaproteobacteria. The record is from RNAcentral.